UGCUAAUACCGCAUAAUGCAGCGGCAUCUAUGAUGACAGUUGUUAAAGCGGGGGAUCGUAAGACCUCGCGCCUGAAGAGAAGUCCGCGGCAGAUUAGCUAGUUGGUAGGGUAAUGGCCUACCAAGGCAACGAUCUGUAGCCGGCCUGAGAGGGCGGUCGGCCACACUGACACUGACAUACGGGUCAGACUCCUACGGGAGGCAGCAGUCGGGAAUUUUGGGCAAUGGGCGAAAGCCUGACCCAGCAACGCCGCGUGAAGGAUGAAGUUUUUCGGAAUGUAAACUUCACAAGAAUGGGAAGAAUAAGUCUUGGCUAACAUCCAAGGCGAUGACGGUACCAUUUGUAAGCUCCGGCUAACUCCGUGCCAGCAGCCGCGGUAAUACGGGGGGAGCAAGCGUUGUUCGGAUUUACUGGGCGUAAAGGGCGCGUAGGCGGCGCCGCAAGUCACUUGUGAAAUCUCCGGGCUCAACUCGGAACGGCCAAGUGAUACUGCGGUGCUAGAGUGCGGAAGGGGCAACUGGAAUUCUUGGUGUAGCGGUGAAAUGCGUAGAUAUCAAGAGGAACACCUGCGGCGAAGGCGGGUUGCUGGGCCGACACUGACGCUGAGGCGCGAAAGCUAGGGGAGCGACG
This 630-nucleotide ribosomal RNA is filed under the name uncultured soil bacterium. Its description in RNAcentral is "bacterial SSU rRNA". It matches the Rfam family "Bacterial small subunit ribosomal RNA", at positions 161 to 773 of the family's 1533-position model. The record is from RNAcentral.